Molecule: long non-coding RNA, 341 nt
Organism: Bombus pascuorum
Lineage: Eukaryota; Metazoa; Arthropoda; Insecta; Hymenoptera; Apidae
Exons: 2
Source: RefSeq, a predicted model, not a curated record
GGAACUAACACGAGUCGAGUUCCCGACGCCCACCUGAUCAUACAGUACAGAGUCGACAGAGAAUCGUGCUGAAACUAAACGUGCGUCGACUAUCGUCUCGCCAUGACAAAAGUAAAACUUGCUCCAUUAUUUCUGGCUGAGAUUACGCAAUUACUGACAAGAAAUCACAACGAAAAUUCCAGGUAGAGCGUCCAAGUGUAUACAUUUUAUCAGAAAUACAAGAGUCUCGUAUCAUAUACGCUCCGGCUUACGUUUUACAAGAUAAGCACACAAGAAUAUACAAAGUCGUUCAAACGUUCGCGUAUUCCACCGGAAUACUCACUCAUUCUUAUCGUAAGUAG